CCUACGGGAGGCUGCAGUCGAGAAUCAUUCACAAUGGGGGAAACCCUGAUGGUGCGACGCCGCGUGGGGGAAUGAAGUUCUUCGGAUUGUAAACCCCUGUCAUGUGGGAGCAAAUUAAAAAGAUAGUACCACAAGAGGAAGAGACGGCUAACUCUGUGCCAGCAGCCUCGGUAAUACAGAGGUCUCAAGCGUUGUUCGGAAUCACUGGGCGUAAAGCGUGCGUAGGCUGUUUCGUAAGUCGUGUGUGAAAGGCCCGGGCUCAACCCGCGGACGGCAUAUGAUACUGCGAGACUAGAGUAAUGGAGGGGGAACCGGAAUUCUAGGUGUAGCAGUGAAAUGCGUAGAUAUCGAGAGGAACACUCGUGGCGAAGGCGGGUUCCUGGACAUUAACUGACGCUGAGGCACGAAGGCGAGGGGAGCGAAAGGGAUUAGAUACCCGGGUAGUC
RNAcentral lists this ribosomal RNA (446 nucleotides) under uncultured bacterium. RNAcentral describes it as "partial 16S ribosomal RNA". It matches the Rfam family "Bacterial small subunit ribosomal RNA", at positions 338 to 795 of the family's 1533-position model. The record is from RNAcentral.